Molecule: ribosomal RNA, 436 nt
Filed under: fungal sp. CZ-2011b
Lineage: Eukaryota; Fungi
Description: eukaryotic LSU rRNA
Rfam family: 5.8S ribosomal RNA (bases 75-228)
Source: RNAcentral
GCGGGGCGCCCGCCGGAGGUCACAAACUCUUAUGUAUUAUAGUGGCAUCUCUGAGUAAAACACAAAUAAGUUAAAACUUUCAACAACGGAUCUCUUGGUUCUGGCAUCGAUGAAGAACGCAGCGAAAUGCGAUAAGUAAUGUGAAUUGCAGAAUUCAGUGAAUCAUCGAAUCUUUGAACGCACAUUGCGCCCGGCAGUACUCUGCCGGGCAUGCCUGUUCGAGCGUCAUUUCAACCCUCAAGCACUGCUUGGUGUUGGGGCCCCACGGCUGCCGUGGGCCCUGAAAGGAAGUGGCGGGCUCGCUACAACUCCGAGCGUAGUAAUUCGUUAUCUCGCUUAGGGCGUUGGGCGGCGCUCCAGCCGUUAAAGAACCAUCUUUAACUCAAGGUUGACCUCGGAUCAGGUAGGAAUACCCGCUGAACUUAAGCAUAUCAAU